AUUGAACCCUGGAGGCAUGCCUUACACAUGCAAGUCGAACGGCAGCACGGAGCUUGCUCUGGUGGCGAGUGGCGAACGGGUGAGUAAUAUAUCGGAACGUACCCUAGAGUGGGGGAUAACGUAGCGAAAGUUACGCUAAUACCGCAUACGAUCUAAGGAUGAAAGUGGGGGAUCGCAAGACCUCAUGCUCGUGGAGCGGCCGAUAUCUGAUUAGCUAGUUGGUAGGGUAAAAGCCUACCAAGGCAUCGAUCAGUAGCUGGUCUGAGAGGACGACCAGCCACACUGGAACUGAGACACGGUCCAGACUCCUACGGGAGGCAGCAGUGGGGAAUUUUGGACAAUGGGCGAAAGCCUGAUCCAGCAAUGCCGCGUGAGUGAAGAAGGCCUUCGGGUUGUAAAGCUCUUUUGUCAGGGAAGAAACGGUGAAAGCUAAUAUCUUUUGCUAAUGACGGUACCUGAAGAAUAAGCACCGGCUAACUACGUGCCAGCAGCCGCGGUAAUACGUAGGGUGCAAGCGUUAAUCGGAAUUACUGGGCGUAAAGCGUGCGCAGGCGGUUUUGUAAGUCUGAUGUGAAAUCCCCGGGCUCAACCUGGGAAUUGCAUUGGAGACUGCAAGGCUAGAAUCUGGCAGAGGGGGGUAGAAUUCCACGUGUAGCAGUGAAAUGCGUAGAUAUGUGGAGGAACACCGAUGGCGAAGGCAGCCCCCUGGGUCAAGAUUGACGCUCAUGCACGAAAGCGUGGGGAGCAAACAGGAUUAGAUACCCUGGUAGUCCACGCCCUAAACGAUGUCUACUAGUUGUCGGGUCUUAAUUGACUUGGUAACGCAGCUAACGCGUGAAGUAGACCGCCUGGGGAGUACGGUCGCAAGAUUAAAACUCAAAGGAAUUGACGGGGACCCGCACAAGCGGUGGAUGAUGUGGAUUAAUUCGAUGCAACGCGAAAAACCUUACCUACCCUUGACAUGGCUGGAAUCCUUGAGAGAUCAGGGAGUGCUCGAAAGAGAACCAGUACACAGGUGCUGCAUGGCUGUCGUCAGCUCGUGUCGUGAGAUGUUGGGUUAAGUCCCGCAACGAGCGCAACCCUUGUCAUUAGUUGCUACGAAAGGGCACUCUAAUGAGACUGCCGGUGACAAACCGGAGGAAGGUGGGGAUGACGUCAAGUCCUCAUGGCCCUUAUGGGUAGGGCUUCACACGUCAUACAAUGGUACAUACAGAGCGCCGCCAACCCGCGAGGGGGAGCUAAUCGCAGAAAGUGUAUCGUAGUCCGGAUUGUAGUCUGCAACUCGACUGCAUGAAGUUGGAAUCGCUAGUAAUCGCGGAUCAGCAUGUCGCGGUGAAUACGUUCCCGGGUCU
Molecule: ribosomal RNA, 1352 nt
Filed under: uncultured bacterium
Lineage: Bacteria
Description: bacterial SSU rRNA
Rfam family: Bacterial small subunit ribosomal RNA
Source: RNAcentral